This 72-nucleotide transfer RNA is filed under the name Vespa mandarinia (Asian giant hornet). RNAcentral's name for it is "tRNA-Leu". Lineage: Eukaryota; Metazoa; Arthropoda; Insecta; Hymenoptera; Vespidae. The record is from RNAcentral. RNAcentral also lists the same sequence under 1 other name.
AUUAUAUUGGCAGAUUAGUGCAUUAAAUUUAGAAUUUAAUUAAAUGAAUUAUUGAAGUAUUUAUAUAUAAUA